RNAcentral lists this small nuclear RNA (266 nucleotides) under Heterocephalus glaber (naked mole-rat). Its description in RNAcentral is "7SK RNA". It matches the Rfam family "7SK RNA", at positions 54 to 331 of the family's 331-position model. From Rfam's summary of the family: 7SK was discovered as an abundant small nuclear RNA in the mid-70s but a possible function has only recently been suggested. Lineage: Eukaryota; Metazoa; Chordata; Mammalia; Rodentia; Bathyergidae. The record is from Rfam by way of RNAcentral.
GGAUGCAGGAUUGAUUUGGCUGGCUCAGUGCAUGUCCCCUUCCUCCUUCACCACUCCAUGUGUGUCCCUCCCAAAGCUGCACAACGUGGUCAAAAAGAACAACCUUUCCAGAUGGAAUAGGCCUGUUCUUCAGUCAAGGGUGCAAGAGUAGCUACACUCCUUUUCUAGAACCCCCUGUUGCAUCAGGGGGACCAAGACUGCCUGCUGCUCUGGGGUGGGAUGAGCACGAGCACUGCUGCCUCCUUAUGGGGGAGCCACUCCCAUAA